Molecule: non-coding RNA, 45 nt
Filed under: Schistosoma curassoni
Lineage: Eukaryota; Metazoa; Platyhelminthes; Trematoda; Strigeidida; Schistosomatidae
Source: RNAcentral
ACCCAGCCGAUGAGUCUCAAAUAGGACGAAAUGCACGUCUUGUAU